This 1376-nucleotide ribosomal RNA is filed under the name Bacillus paralicheniformis. RNAcentral's name for it is "bacterial SSU rRNA". It matches the Rfam family "Bacterial small subunit ribosomal RNA", at positions 48 to 1413 of the family's 1533-position model. The record is from RNAcentral. Lineage: Bacteria; Bacillati; Bacillota; Bacilli; Caryophanales; Bacillaceae.
GCUAUACAUGCAAGUCGAGCGGACAGAUGGGAGCUUGCUCCCUGAUGUUAGCGGCGGACGGGUGAGUAACACGUGGGUAACCUGCCUGUAAGACUGGGAUAACUCCGGGAAACCGGGGCUAAUACCGGAUGCUUGAUUGAACCGCAUGGUUCAAUUAUAAAAGGUGGCUUUUAGCUACCACUUACAGAUGGACCCGCGGCGCAUUAGCUAGUUGGUGAGGUAACGGCUCACCAAGGCAACGAUGCGUAGCCGACCUGAGAGGGUGAUCGGCCACACUGGGACUGAGACACGGCCCAGACUCCUACGGGAGGCAGCAGUAGGGAAUCUUCCGCAAUGGACGAAAGUCUGACGGAGCAACGCCGCGUGAGUGAUGAAGGUUUUCGGAUCGUAAAACUCUGUUGUUAGGGAAGAACAAGUACCGUUCGAAUAGGGCGGUACCUUGACGGUACCUAACCAGAAAGCCACGGCUAACUACGUGCCAGCAGCCGCGGUAAUACGUAGGUGGCAAGCGUUGUCCGGAAUUAUUGGGCGUAAAGCGCGCGCAGGCGGUUUCUUAAGUCUGAUGUGAAAGCCCCCGGCUCAACCGGGGAGGGUCAUUGGAAACUGGGGAACUUGAGUGCAGAAGAGGAGAGUGGAAUUCCACGUGUAGCGGUGAAAUGCGUAGAGAUGUGGAGGAACACCAGUGGCGAAGGCGACUCUCUGGUCUGUAACUGACGCUGAGGCGCGAAAGCGUGGGGAGCGAACAGGAUUAGAUACCCUGGUAGUCCACGCCGUAAACGAUGAGUGCUAAGUGUUAGAGGGUUUCCGCCCUUUAGUGCUGCAGCAAACGCAUUAAGCACUCCGCCUGGGGAGUACGGUCGCAAGACUGAAACUCAAAGGAAUUGACGGGGGCCCGCACAAGCGGUGGAGCAUGUGGUUUAAUUCGAAGCAACGCGAAGAACCUUACCAGGUCUUGACAUCCUCUGACAACCCUAGAGAUAGGGCUUCCCCUUCGGGGGCAGAGUGACAGGUGGUGCAUGGUUGUCGUCAGCUCGUGUCCUGAGAUGUUGGGUUAAGUCCCGCAACGAGCGCAACCCUUGAUCUUAGUUGCCAGCAUUCAGUUGGGCACUCUAAGGUGACUGCCGGUGACAACCCGAAGAAAGGGGGGGAUGACGUCGAAUCAUCAUGCCCCUUAUGACCUGGCCUAACACGUGCUACAAUGGGCAGAACAAAGGGGAGCGAACCUCCAAGCUAAGCAAUCCCGAAGAUCUGUUCUCAUUUUGGAAUCGAAUUGGCAACUCAACGGCUGUGAACUGGAGAGCCCGGAAUAGCCGGAACAACUGCCCGCGGUAAACAAUCCGCGGCCUUGAAUACUCCCCUCUCCGCCCGAGAAUCUU